UACUGACGCUAGCGACGUUUUCCUCGUCCCUGUGGCUGCUGUCUGUUCUGUCCUGAUCGUCGUCAUCGCUGUGGUUGUCAUAGUUGUUGUUUGUAGAAAACAGACACGUAAAGGGAGGGGAUACUUCCAUAACCGCGUGGUCACGUAUACCCGGGACACAGAAACAGACGGGAGCUACCAGGAAAUAGAUGAGGGAGGAAACAUUAAUAACCG
Long non-coding RNA from Haliotis rufescens (red abalone), 213 nucleotides. RefSeq lists it as uncharacterized. NCBI's taxonomy places the organism in Eukaryota, Metazoa, Mollusca, Gastropoda, Lepetellida, Haliotidae. The transcript is spliced from 4 exons. The record is from RefSeq and is a predicted model, not a curated record.